CUCAGGUGAUCCGCCCGCCUUGGCCUCCCAGUGUUGGGAUUACAGGCGUGAGCCAUCACGCCCGGCCGAUGCUUAUAUUUCAUAUUGAAGGGACACACCUCAACACAUUUACUUUUGGAAACUGUUAAGCAGAUAGAGGGAACGCUGAAAAAAUUUCUACCAGAGAUAUACCAAGAGCUCCGGACCAGCCAGAGCCACCUACUCGGAUCAUGUUGGCAGAACCCAGUACUGUUUCGAGGCCAGAUGCACCAUUUCAGCAAUUCAGGAGGAAAUAAGCAGUGUGGAUAAACUGAUACCCAUUUUUGAAAGUCGGCCUGGGUUCGCAUUCAGAAGAAAUGUCGACGCUAGCCAUUUUUUUUUUAAAAUGGGUGAUUUGAUAACUCAGGGAAGUCUUGCCACUGUAAUUUUUAAAAGUUUGCUUGCUAGAACCAGGUACUUUCUAAGAAGUGUAUGGAAAAAGCCUUGA
This 466-nucleotide long non-coding RNA is filed under the name Homo sapiens (human). RNAcentral describes it as "HSALNT0356472". The record is from RNAcentral. Lineage: Eukaryota; Metazoa; Chordata; Mammalia; Primates; Hominidae.